UACGUAGGUGGCAAGCGUUAUCCGGAAUUAUUGGGGCGUAAAGAGCGCGCAGGUGGUUGAUUAAGUCUGAUGUGAAAGCCCACGGCUUAACCGUGGAGGGUCAUUGGAAACUGGUCGACUUGAGUGCAGGAGAGGAGAGUGGAAUUCCUAGUGUAGCGGUGAAAUGCGUAGAUAUCAGGAGGAACACCAGUUGCGAAGGCGGCUCUCUGGACUGUAACUGACACUGAGGCACGAAAGCGUGGGGAGCAAACAGGAUUAGAUACCCCGGUA
RNAcentral lists this ribosomal RNA (270 nucleotides) under uncultured prokaryote. Its description in RNAcentral is "partial 16S ribosomal RNA". It matches the Rfam family "Bacterial small subunit ribosomal RNA", at positions 524 to 792 of the family's 1533-position model. The record is from RNAcentral.